RNAcentral lists this ribosomal RNA (295 nucleotides) under uncultured bacterium. RNAcentral's name for it is "partial 16S ribosomal RNA". It matches the Rfam family "Bacterial small subunit ribosomal RNA", at positions 775 to 1067 of the family's 1533-position model. The record is from RNAcentral.
GGAUUAGAUACCCUGGUAGUCCACGCCGUAAACGAUGUGUACUCGCUGUCAGCCCCAACGGGGUUGGUGGCCAAGCUAACGCGUUAAGUACACCGCCUGGGGACUACGGCCGCAAGGUUAAAACUCAAAGGAAUUGACGGGGACCCGCACAAGUGGUGGAGCAUGUCGUUUAAUUCGAAGAUACGCGCAGAACCUUACCAACACUUGACAUGUUCGUCGCGACUCUAAGAGAUUAGAGUUUUCGGUUCGGCCGGACGAAACACAGGUGCUGCAUGGCUGUCGUCAGCUCGUGCCG